GACGAACGCUGGCGGCGUGCCUAAUACAUGCAAGUAGAACGCUGAAGGAGGAGCUUGCUUCUCUGGAUGAGUUGCGAACGGGUGAGUAACGCGUAGGUAACCUGCCUGGUAGCGGGGGAUAGCUAUUGGAAACGAUAGCUAAUACCGCAUAAGAGUAGAUGUUGCAUGACAUUUGCUUAAAAGGUGCAAUUGCAUCACUACCAGAUGGACCUGCGUUGUAUUAGCUAGUUGGUGGGGUAACGGCUCACCAAGGCGACGAUACAUAGCCGACCUGAGAGGGUGAUCGGCCACACUGGGACUGAGACACGGCCCAGACUCCUACGGGAGGCAGCAGUAGGGAAUCUUCGGCAAUGGACGGAAGUCUGACCGAGAAACGCCGCGUGAGUGAAGAAGGUUUUCGGAUCGUAAAGCUCUGUUGUAAGAGAAGAACGAGUGUGAGAGUGGAAAGUUCACACUGUGACGGUAUCUUACCAGAAAGAGACGGCUAACUACGUG
RNAcentral lists this ribosomal RNA (495 nucleotides) under uncultured bacterium. RNAcentral's name for it is "partial 16S ribosomal RNA". It matches the Rfam family "Bacterial small subunit ribosomal RNA", at positions 28 to 507 of the family's 1533-position model. The record is from RNAcentral.